This 67-nucleotide transfer RNA is filed under the name Trachelus iudaicus. RNAcentral's name for it is "tRNA-Ala". Lineage: Eukaryota; Metazoa; Arthropoda; Insecta; Hymenoptera; Cephidae. The record is from RNAcentral.
AGGAUUAUAAUUUAAAUGAAAAAUAAUUGAAUUGCAAUCAAAAAUUACUUAUUAUAAGUUAAUCUUA